This 30-nucleotide non-coding RNA is filed under the name Cricetulus griseus (Chinese hamster). The record is from RNAcentral. Lineage: Eukaryota; Metazoa; Chordata; Mammalia; Rodentia; Cricetidae.
UCUGCCUUUUAAAGGCAAAGGUGGCUGUAG